GGGGAUUUAGCUCAGCGGUAGAGCGCUUGCCUAGCAAGCACAAGGCCCUGGGUUCGGUUCCCAGCUCA
Molecule: non-coding RNA, 68 nt
Organism: Rattus norvegicus (Norway rat)
Lineage: Eukaryota; Metazoa; Chordata; Mammalia; Rodentia; Muridae
Source: Rfam